This 938-nucleotide transfer RNA is filed under the name Mesorhizobium sp. S828. RNAcentral describes it as "partial contains 16S ribosomal RNA, 16S-23S ribosomal RNA intergenic spacer, and 23S ribosomal RNA". The stretch from base 251 to 324 matches the Rfam family "tRNA". The record is from RNAcentral. Lineage: Bacteria; Pseudomonadati; Pseudomonadota; Alphaproteobacteria; Hyphomicrobiales; Phyllobacteriaceae.
GAGCCUCUGCCUUUCGGUUCUCUUGGAACAAGACGGAAGAGAGUCACUCUUACCGUCGCGCAUACCUUAAGCGGGUCUGCCGCCUUCGUUUCUCUUUCUUCAGCGAAUGACUUUGACUUGCGCUCGCGCGCCGUACCGCGGCCCUUUGGGCCGCUGGCGCUCCGCGAGGGCGCGGCACGAGCCGCGACGGCCGGUUGGCCUUGCGAGACGUGCGUCUCGUUGGCGAAAGCCGAUCUACGGCGCAGUCUAAGGGCUUGUAGCUCAGUUGGUUAGAGCGCGCGCUUGAUAAGCGUGAGGUCGGAGGUUCAAGUCCUCCCAGGCCCACCACUUCCUUUCGACACGAAGGUUAUCAGGGGCCGUAGCUCAGCUGGGAGAGCGCCUGCUUUGCAAGCAGGAUGUCGUCGGUUCGAUCCCGUCCGGCUCCACCACUUCCGCGCGAUCCGAAGGAUCGUCGCGUCACGCGAUCCGCAGGAUCGUCGCCUUGAAAGUGUGUCGAGUGGAGGUGGUGAAAAAGUCAUUCGUAAAAAGAGUUUGCGGGAAGCGUCGAGCUUUCCCGCCUGUUCUGUUUUGACAUCGUAAAGAGAAGAUUUGUUCGAACUUCAUGAGCCGCAAGGUUCGUGAUUUGUCGCGGGAGACGCUCAAUCUCCCGCAUAUGAUGGGUUUGCCUAACCGUGCCCUCGAACCGAUCUCGAGAAGCUGGUCUUUUUGUGCCAAUGACACUUAGCGCCAAAUCCUGCACAGGAUUGCGCUUAUGCGACGAUCUCUUCGAGAUCGCGCUGACGCUCACGCUCAUCCCGCAAGGGAGAGGCUGAAGCGACGAUUUCUUCGAAAUCGCGCGGUGGGCAUUGGCAAUGAGAACGAUCAAGUGUCUUAAGGGCAAUUGGUGGAUGCCUUGGCAUGCACAGGCGAUGAAGGACGUGAUACGCUGCGAUAAGCUA